AAAAAAAACAACAGGGAUUGCCCCAGUAACGGCGAGUGAAGCGGCAACAGCUCAAAUUUGAAAUCUGGUCCCCAGGGCCCGAGCUUGUAAUUUGUAGAGGAUGCUUUUGGCGAGGUGCCUUCCGAGUUCCCUGGAACGGGACGCCAUAGAGGGUGAGAGCCCCGUCUGGUUGGAUACCAAGCCUCUGUAAAGCUCCUUCGACGAGUCGAGUAGUUUGGGAAUGCUGCUCUAAAUGGGAGGUAUAUGUCUUCUAAAGCUAAAUACCGGCCAGAGACCGAUAGCGCACAAGUAGAGUGAUCGAAAGAUGAAAAGCACUUUGAAAAGAGGGUUAAAUAGUACGUGAAAUUGUUGAAAGGGAAGCGUUUGUGACCAGACUUGGGCCCGGUUAAUCAUCCAGCGUUCUCGCUGGUGCACUUUGCCGGCCCAGGCCAGCAUCAGUUCGCGCCGGGGGAUAAAGGCUUCGGGAAUGUGGCUCCUCCGGGAGUGUUAUAGCCCGCUGCGUAAUACCCUGGUGCGGACUGAGGUUCGCGCUCCGCAAGGAUGCUGGCGUAAUGGUCAUCAGCGACCCGUCUUGAAACACGGACCAAGGAGUCGUCUUCGUAUGCGAGUGUUCGGGUGUCAAACCCCUACGCGUAAUGAA
Molecule: ribosomal RNA, 640 nt
Filed under: Niesslia mucida
Lineage: Eukaryota; Fungi; Ascomycota; Sordariomycetes; Hypocreales; Niessliaceae
Description: partial large subunit ribosomal RNA
Rfam family: Eukaryotic large subunit ribosomal RNA
Source: RNAcentral